RNAcentral lists this ribosomal RNA (429 nucleotides) under Chloroflexota bacterium. Its description in RNAcentral is "Chloroflexi bacterium partial 16S ribosomal RNA". It matches the Rfam family "Bacterial small subunit ribosomal RNA", at positions 355 to 776 of the family's 1533-position model. Lineage: Bacteria; Bacillati; Chloroflexota. The record is from RNAcentral.
UGGGGAAUAUUGCACAAUGGGCGCAAGCCUGAUGCAGCCAUGUCGCGUGUAUGAAGAAGGCCUUCGGGUUGUAAAGUACUUUCAGUCGGGAGGAAGGUGGUAAGGUUAAUAACCUUGGCAAUUGACGUUACCGACAGAAGAAGCACCGGCUAACUCCGUGCCAGCAGCCGCGGUAAUACGGAGGGUGCAAGCGUUAAUCGGAAUUACUGGGCGUAAAGCGCACGCAGGCGGUUGAUUGAGUCAGAUGUGAAAUCCCCGGGCUUAACCCGGGAAUUGCAUCUGAUACUGGUCAGCUAGAGUCUUGUAGAGGGGGGUAGAAUUCCAUGUGUAGCGGUGAAAUGCGUAGAGAUGUGGAGGAAUACCGGUGGCGAAGGCGGCCCCCUGGACAAAGACUGACGCUCAGGUGCGAAAGCGUGGGGAGCAAACAGG